Molecule: long non-coding RNA, 674 nt
Organism: Gossypium arboreum
Lineage: Eukaryota; Viridiplantae; Streptophyta; Magnoliopsida; Malvales; Malvaceae
Exons: 2
Source: RefSeq, a predicted model, not a curated record
UCACACAAAGAAAAAAAAAAGGAGAAAAAACCAAAGUUUUCCCCCUUUUAAUGUUCAGCCGAUCAAUGGUCUCCCCAAAUGACUGUUCUUCUGCCUCUUCUUUCGACCCAUAGAGUUGUCAAUCGAGGUUUCAUUGAACCAAGGGGAUUCAUGGGUCUCGCUUACCAGCCCCAAAUCAACACUGUAUUUCGACGGUAGUGAAACAAGUGGGGACUCGAACGUUUCGGAACGCAGGUAUGGGGAGUGUGUAUGAGGGCUGGGCGCUGGCGCUGGAGGGUACGGAGACUGGGGCGAUGUAGCUGCUGAGGCGCUGGCACCAUGCGAGGUCUGGAGGCUGUAGAGGGUUGCGGCGCAAACGAGGAAGGGAUGACCUAGGGUUGCUGAAACCUUUUGGGCCAUUUGGGCUCAUUUUCAGUAUUGGGCCAUCAGAUUUGGGCUAGAGGGACUGUUUUGGGUAUUUGGGUUUGUAAUAGGACAUUAUUGGCCAUGUAAUAUUUUUUGGGUUUUUAAUUAUAUUUAUUUAUUUACUUGGUUUGUUUGUAACGGGCCUGGGCAUAUUUGGCCCACUAUACCCCCUUCUAACAUUUUUCCCUUAUCGGUAAACUUCCUUUCGUUUUCCUUUGAUUCAGUCUGUGAAUCCUUUAUUCAAUCGUCGCUACUGCGAUUUCUUGGUU